UAUUUUGUGCUUUCCUGCAGUGCUGCUGUCUUUAUGUAGUAGAGUCUCAUGACUUUGGAAGUCAACAUAAGUGUCCCCUUUUCACCACAGAGGAGGCCAUUCAAGCCUGAGACCACGGAUGCCCAGGAUUGUUACGUAAUUGUCUCUCUGCAAGUCCAUUCUGCAUCCCUGUGUGCCCUCCCUCCCUGCGCUCCCGGCCUUCCCUGCUUUACUUUCUAUUUCCAGACUUGUUUAGGCUUCUCCAAGGAUUCCGAAUUUACCUGACAGUGGCUUUCUCUUGUAAGUCCUUUAAACAUGAUUUGUGAGAUUGGUUCAUGAAAAAAAAAAAAAAAAAGGUUCCAACAUUGCAUUGAGACAGAGUUGAUCUUAGAAAUGUUUGCUAAACGAUUUUCUUUUAAAUAAGAUGGAUUGCUGUUUUUAUUACGAAGUUCAAAUGCAUGCUUAGCGUUUCAGCUUGGGGAAAGGAAAUAUCAGACAAGCAUUCAUGACCAAGUUCUACCAAUCAAAGCAAGUUGCAUAAACAUUCUGGAGUAUUUUUUCCUAUUUCUAAAAUGUAUUUUAAAAUUUAUUUGUGUCUUUUUGUUUUAGUUUUAUGCAGUUGAGCUUAUACUUUGGGCAUAAUUCUAUGUAUUUCAAUCUACAUAACAUCUUUUAAAAUCUUCUCAUGCUUUUUAAAUCAUGUAUUUGAUAAACAGAUAUACUGUAGUGACUUAUGCAUUUUAUUGUUAUUAGAGAGUUAAGGUUUUUCCCUGACCACAAUUCAUUAAUAGAAAUGAUGAUUUGGUAAGUAAUGUUGGUUUUAAAUUUUGAGAGAUGGUUUGGUUAUUUCCUUAAUAUUCCAAGGAGAAUGCUGAGCUCCAAGAAUCUGGAGAGUUCUGUGUCUCUGGGUAGUUACUGGCUGUCCAUAUGCCUGACUUCCAUCCACACCGUGGGUUUUCUUUGGGGAAAGCAGGUGUGUGUCCCCUAGGUGGAUUUCCUGUGAAUCAGUAUAUUUCCCAGGUGAUAUGCCUAUCUGGCACUCAGCAGUGCUAAUCUUACCAGGGACACGGUUAAAGUUCCGGGGCCUAGAAGGCCCCUGCCAGUCUGGAACCGAGACAGAAGGGGACAGGAGCCCGUGUCAGCGAAAUGAAAAAGAACAGGGAGAGACCAGCUAAACUUUGGGUCAGCUGGUUGCGCCAGCCUUUUGGUGUUAAUUGUUCUGCAGCUGAAGAUGCUCCUCAGAAGGCUCCCGGACUGGCUUGCUGUGCUGGGGGGAGAGCUCAGAAUUCUCGGCCUGGGUUGCUGAGGUGGGGCCUUCAGAGCUGGUUCUGGGGAAUCUUGUCUGGUGUGGCCCGGAUUUGAAGGACUCUGUGAUGUAGUGGUUGGCUUUUUUGCUUCUAUCCCUUCAAACCUGCUCAUGGGGACACUGAGAGACCUUUGAAUGAUUUAGGAACAGUUUAGUAUGUUGUCCUGUUUCUUAAAUGGGAAUCUAGACAAUAACUGUUGUUUAAAGUAGAAGUCUCAAUAAAUCACAGUGAUCACAAACCCUUUGACUCAGAGAUUAAAAUUUUAGGGAUUAAUUCUAAAGAAGAGCAAUACUUGAGAGUGGACUGUUGAGAAGUACUUUGUGAUGGUGUGUGUGUGUGUGUGUGUGUGUGCAUGCACGCACGCCUGCGUGUGUUUAGGCAUCAGGAGUUUGGGAAUCUCCAAACUGCAUUCACAUGCUAAUGGAGAAAUUCUGCUCUUAAAAGCAAACAACUUAAAAAUACUUAACCUCAAUCCUUCCAGCCCUGGUCACUGGCUUUUGUAUUUGUGUGGAUGUCUAUUUGUGUCCCCCCAACACGGAAGAAUAAAGUGGAACCACAAUAUCUGGAGUCAGAGGGCAAGGCCCUCUAGCUACCAUGACAUAGUAGUGUAGGAAAAACGUAGUUGACUUAAACAAUAUAAAAUAUUUGAGGGGCGUGAUUCCAUUUCUGUUAAACCAACAUUUGUGUUAUCAGUCCAUAUAAAUUACGUACUGAGGUACGGGUGACUCUUUGCCUUAGUGCUUACCUAUAUUCCCACACUUUCUAUAAUGAAAGUAAACUCUAAUAUUUUAUUUUUAUUUUCUUAAUAUUUUUUUUUAGUUUUUGAUGGACCUUUAUUUUAUUUAUUUUUAUGUGGUGCUGAGAAUCAAACCCAGUGCCUCACACCUGCUAGGCAAGCACAUUACCACUGAGCCACUAUCCCAGCCCCUCUAAUACUUUUAAAAAGUAAAAAAUGGUAACAGAAAGAAAAAUGUACCAGUGAUCCUGAACAUGCCCGGUUAUCUCACUGAGUGUUACAGUCCUGCUGUGAGCAGUCUAGGGUGCAGUGACGGAUCUAGAAAGUUCUCUUGGUUUGACAUAUAGACAGGAAUAAAAUAGCUUUGAAGAUCUAUCUACAGGAACAGGUUGGAGGUUUCGGGGCUGUGUGGCACAGAGAAAAAUACAUCUGAGAAACAAAAGGAGGUAGAUUUAUUUUUCUUUUGAAUAGCCAUUUGCUUGUCUGAAUUGCCUUUCAGCGCUGUGUGUGUACAAACACCAUCUCCCUGUGGCUUCGACCAGGUGAGCAUUCAAUAAGAGGCUUCCCUCCGCUGGGGUUUGACUUUCUGCCAAGGUUGAAUAACAAACUCCAAUUGUUCAACUCCUCACCUCUCCACCCCGAUGCACCCAUAUUAACCUUGAGCAUUCACACUGGCUUUUGCAAAACCUGGCGUUGAAUAUAUGACAAGCCCCAUCCUACAUUUCUUUUAUGAUUGCUUGCAAAAAACUUGAACUCAAUGAUCAGCGCAAGUAUCUCUUUAUUUAUCCAUCUGAUCCCUGCUAAUGUAAAGUUUAAACAAUGUACAAUUAGAAAAGUAAAAUUAUACACCCCAUAUGACUGUAAACAAUUAUACUCAUUAAAGACCUUGUAUGAAAUAGUUAGAUUCAAAAAAUAUCAGCAGCAUCGACAAAACUGUUGAGUAGAGAGAAAUCCUGGGUUUUAGCAGCAGUCUCUUAGAAUCUGAUGAUAACAUACUAUCUUAAAUAAUUUCUAAAGUUGGGUGGUGCUCUAUUGGGGGGAAACAAUUAAAAGCGUGCCACCUAUAGAAAAUAAAAAAUACUAAGAAAAAUAUCAAAACAAUCCAUCCACUGACCAGCAGUCUAAAUGAGAGCAAGGAUACUGUGACCCUCCAAUUAUAGCACCAUGCGCUGGCUUCAUCAAUAAUAUUGCAGAGAAAGGGCUUGACCACAUCUCACUCUGGCUUUUACCUUCGAGCCAGGCAAAUGCAUUGAUAAGGCUCAAGACUCUGGAGAGCAAAGCUUCACCACUUGGCCUGGAGGGGUACUUGUGACCUCAAAAGCAUUUAUACUGAUACAUAAAUAGGCAGGCAGAGGAAAGGCCUUUGUCCGCAUUUGGUCUGGUCAGAAAGAAAUUUCUCUUAGGAGUCACAAGGCAUUCGCUCAGGAAGUUGAAAGGAAGAGGUUCCUCUUGGGACUUCCACCAAGGGGACACCCUUUUAUGGAGGUUAGAAGAGGAGAAUCCUGUACACAUGGUACAGUGAGGUUGGUCUCCCUGGAGGUGUUAUGCAGGGUGGACCCCAGAUCCUCCCUUCAGCAGUAGCACCUGACAUAGGGAAUGUCGGGGGGCAGCAUUGCUUAACAAUACAGGGAUCAAUAAGAACAAAAAUGCUCUUGGUGAAAGAAUGUGUUGCAGUGGCCAAAGCCCAGCCAGACCCAUUUUGAUUCCCUUCCUCACCCAUCUGAGUGGGAUCCAGGGCAAUCUCUGGUCCUCUCAGAAUUAUUUUCUUUAAAAUAGACCAACCACACUCAAGUCACUCAGACUGUAUCCUCCUGAAGAUGAAGGCUGUGGCUGGGGUCUACUAGAUGCUCACCUCCAGAGCAAAAUGGACUCACCUGCCCCCAGGAAACAGAGGUCACUAACCACCAUGGGACAGCUUCCUGGGUGCCCAGAGCUCAUCUGUAAAGUAGGCACUUUGCAGCGUAUCUCUUUGAUAGUCUAAUAAAGAACUGCCUGACCCUGCAUCUGCAGUUAGAGCUGCCUUUCUGUGGUCUGUGGAAUUCACUCUGUAGUUGAGGGGGCCGUCUGGCAGGGGGAGCCGUAAAAGUGUCAGAGCCUUAUGAACGGCCUGGAGGUGGGAUCCCGUUGUUCUGUGCUGGGCAGUGAGGGGGACUGAUGGUGUGCGGGCUGCAGGCAGUGUUGAAUCUCCCUCCAUCUGUGCAGGGGGGAUGAGGACAGGCGAGCAGAACCAGAAACCAGCUAGCUGCUCCAGCCAUCCCAGGGAGAGGCAGUGUCCAAAGGCCCCGAUGAGAUCACCUCUUGCCCCCAGGGAGCCCUUCUCUCAUUCCAAAGUACAACAUGCCAGGUUUAAUCCUAAGCCAUCAGUGAGGUGGGUCUGAAUUCACUUUCUCAGAGAAUGACCUGAUUUCUGUGGCUGUAAGCUAGCAGCAGACUGUAUUAAUUUGACUGUUUUUAUAGGUCUUUUGCAUGCAGUGUUAAGCACACAGCUCCACCAUCUAAUUAAGAGGGGCCCUUAUCAAUUUGCAGGAUAGUUGCCUACAGGAAAAAAAAAACAUAUAUAUAUAUAUAUAUAUAUAUAUAUAUAUAUAUAUAUAUAUAUAUAUAUAUGUUAAACAUUACACUGAAUCCUCCAUUCCUAAGAGGUAAGCAUUAAUCAAAGAAUGAGACUAUCCCCAAUUAAUCACCGAUCUUGCCAACAGGUUGUAACAUAUACAUGAGGGACUUGUGGAGGAGUCCUUGCUUUGAGAACUAUCUUUGGUUCCCACCCAGUUCACUUUCUGGAAUUAAAUAGCAGAGAAACUUUCUGAGGACUGGAUUCAAGAGACAGUUAUGCCCGGGGACUUGCCCUCUAGCAUGCCGACCCGGCUAUCAUUUCAUCCUUGGUCUGGAUAAGGUGGGCUUCUUUUGGGGGGGCCAACAGAAGUGAAGGAAAGAGCCCACAGGAAGUAGGACCACCAGAUGAGGCUCAGAGUGUGGGCUGUCCAGCUGGAGGGCAGUGGACGACAUGUCAGGAGUGGACAGCCCAGCCCAGACCCUGCCCUUGCAUUGCUAAGCGGCCUUGAACCAACUGGGCUAGACUCUUGACUUGAAAGAAGUCUGUGCCCCUGGGAAGCCACGUGGACCACCGGGACCAUGCAAUGAGUUUCGGUUAAAAUCCUGGCUCUACAGCUGAGCAACCCUCAGGAUGAAAUGACCCUUUCUAUGCCUGUAGAGUUGAUCUGCAGAUGCCCUCUCCAUUGAGUUCCUUUUAAAGAAAGAUUGGAAAAAAAAAAUCAAUCAAGUGUAUGAAAAUAGUUCGCAUGCAGGCUUGCUGUGAAUACCAGUCUCCCUCCAUGGACUGUCCUUUUUAAAUCUAACUUUCUCAACUUUCUGAGAUUAUAUCUCAAUCCUCCUGCACAAAAUGCACCCAUUAAUGGUAAGAUGCUCCCUGAGAUCCUUGGUUGUCUUUUUGUCUUGGAGGUGAAGUCAACAGCUCGUGAUGCCUUUUUCUGAUGAUAGGGGAUAGGGUCAUUUAUUAGUCAGCUAUUUUUGCUGCUGUGACUAAAAGACCCCACCAACACAACGACAGAGGAGGAGAAGUUUAUUCAGGAGCUCAGUUUGGGAGGUCUGAGUCCAUAGAAGGCCAGCUCCAUUUCUCAGGGCUUGAGGUGAGGCUGAACAUCAUGGCGGAAGAGUGUGGCAGAGGGAAGCAGCACACAUCAUGGUGACCAGAAGAAAGCAGAUCCAGAUACAAAGCCACGCCCCCAAGUUCCACCUCCUCCAGCCAUACCCCACCACUUCAGUUACCACUCAGUUAAUCCCUAUCAGGGGAUUAAAUCACUGAUUGGGUUAAGACCCUCACAACCCAAUCAUUUCUCCUCUGAACCUUCUUGCACUGUCCCACACAUGAGCUUUUGGGGGACACCUCGCAUCCAAACCAUAACAGGUUGCAGACUGUAAUAUUUUCUGGCUCCCAACUUCCUACUAUCACUUGCCUGACGCUGACUGCCAUUUGUCAGGCUGGUCUGGUUCAAAUAUCUAUUUCAAAAAUCACCCCCAAAGCAAAUUAAAAUAAGGAAUGUCUUGUUUUUCCCUCUAGUCACAUUAGUUUUGCCUCUGGAAAAAUGGGGAAAAAAUAGCUCUUGAGCAGAAUAUCAGGGACAGCCAAGGUACUGUUCCGCACCCCCAGAUGAAAAUCCAGAGAACCAGCAUUCAAAUCUGGAGGCUCCCAGUCCUCUCAGUCUUUGACAAUGGGAUCUUCUGGGGCAGACUGUUGAAGUCUCCAAAGCCCAACCCUGUCAGGGCCGUUUGAUGACCUGGUUGAGGAGAGACCACCAUGUUUUUUUUUUUUUUUGGUCGUCUUCUGACCUAGUUUCUUAAGUAAACUGAAUGUGAGCUUUUGCAUCAUUUUGCUUUUUAAACUAAUAUCGGAUGCAGACGUGAAGGAAAUUCCGUCAAGAACAUCGUUCUAAUCCUGAGGUCAGCAAUAGUGGAAGUAAAAUGACCCAUGCAAUAGAGCAGAAAUGGUGUUCUCCACACCAAGCAAAGAAGGAAGAAGCCCAGCUCACUGGAUUCAAAUGCGGGUCUUCUUAUCUGUGUAUUAGCAGCUAUCUAGUUUUCAGGCAUCUACCUGCCUAUCUGACUAUCUAUUGGCCCACCCCAAACCACUGAUAAAAGGAAGAAUAAUAUUGCAAAAGGAAGAAAGCAGAAAAGAAAGUAUUAUCUAGAUGUUAAGAUAACUACCUAGAGAUAUACACAGACAAAACACAGAAAAAAAACCUAAGGUCUGCUAAGACUUAGUUGAUAAGAUUAGACAUGUCAGAAAUCCCAGAAAUAAUACUCUAGUUUAGUAACAGUUGGAAAAGUCUUACCAUAAAGAUAGGCCAUUAUUAGUGAAUACUCAUGCAGAUUUUUCAUACAUUGAAAAGGAUCUUUGGCUGAGUAAUGGGAAAGUCAAUGUAGGCAAUGGGCCAUUUAUUCACUCAACAAACAAUGGCUAAGCACUCUGUUUAACACCCUGAAACACAGAGAAGAAGGGACAGAAAUCAGAUCCAUAAAAUGAUCAUCCAGGGAGCCUCGUGCAACUACAGGGCAAGGUUACAUCUCCACCCUACCUAAUGGCCUAAGAGUUUCCAUUAUGGGGAGUGGAAAUGGGGCGGGCCUCUCCUAGAGCUGUGCAAUGGAGACCUCGGUAAAAAAUGGAGCCGCACAAUGAUGACAGCUCUGUUAGGGUUGAACACAAGGACUGUGGGGUCAGAGAAGAGAGGACCCAGUGUGGACCCAGCCAGACUCGGCCUCAUGGGUGGGACGGGAUACCAAUACAACUCCCCAUCCAAGGUAACAAUGAACCGGGUGCGGUGGUGCACAUCUGUAAUCCCAGCAGCUUGGGAGGCUGAGGCAGGAGGAACACAAGUUCAAAGCCAGCCUCAGCCAUCGCAAGGUGCUAAGCAACUCAGUGAGACCCUGUCUCUAAAUAAAAAACAAAAUAGGGCUGCAGAUGUGGCUCAGUGGUUGAGUGCCCCUGAGUUCAAUCCCUGGUACCAAAAAAAAAAAAGUAACAUUGAUAUUUCAAAAAUAGGCAAGCAGAUGCAAGACUACUGAUUGCAGACUUGCCAGGCUCUAAACACCUUCCUGGGGAAACAACCUCUGCGUAUUCAAAGCCCCAGUGACUCUUUUCACACUGACCUUGGCUGAAGGCUCAUGUCCCUUCACACUUGGGGGCCACACAGUGUUCCACGGGGAAUGCCAAUUGUGAGACCUAUUUGUGAGCCACUAAGCAUUGAUAGUUCAGCACAGACCACACAAUUAAUUUCAUUUUUGCCCUCAGCCAGACUACAAACAAAAGCCCCAGAGACGACUGGGAAAUUAAUUUAUUAAAAAGCAAUAGCCUGAUAAUACACAUGAUGAUAGAAGAAAUGAAUAUGCUCAAUAUCUUAUAAAACAGUUGGCAAUCACAUAAUAGAGUAUUCAUUGUCAAUUUAGUAGCUUGUCUCAUUAUGCUCAGCAAAUAGUUGUAAAAUAGUGUAUUAUUCAUGAACCAACAUGCUUUAAUUACUUUUAGUGCACAUUUAUUUUUCAAAUGCAAUAUGAUUAGAUUCAUCUAUAAAAGCAGCCCAUUUUGCUAAAGUCUGCUAUAAGACCCUCCCAAUGAAGGAACCCUAGGUUGCAUUUCUCAGGCUUGGAAAUACAAACCAAAUACAAACCUCUUUCAUGAAAGAGGGUUUUGCAGCUAUGGCCUCCAGCGUUGGACUCCACCCAGUGCCCAGGACAGUCUGAACUGAGGUGGUAGGACGUGAUUCAACUAACUGAUUCUCUUUGUAACCCUGGCCAACUUCCUUCACAAUGGGGUAUGAGCAGACAGAGAAGCAGGGGCUUGGAAUGCUCUGGCAUUACUGGAUGUUUCCUCUUACCCUCCUGUGAUUCUUUAGGAAUGCUAUAUCUCUCCAGGAGACCACUAGCACCAGGAAGAUGAGAGACCUAUAGAGUAGCCCAAUCCAUAGCCUAAAACCAACCCAGCCUGGAUCAGCUGACCCUCAGCCCAGAGACAGAUGUAUGAACCAUGAUAAUGACUGCUACUUUAAGCAACUGCAUUUUGGAGAUGAUUUGUUACACAGCUAAAGCUAACUGAUACAGUUUGCAUAUGCAAAAUUUACCUUGGGAUGCCUCCGGACAAUCCUCAAAGCAAAUGGCAAUCAAAGUUUACCUCUGUUUUGCUUGCUUUGGAGGAUGUCUGGUGCAUGGGAUUAUAAGGCCAGGAGAGAAGUCACAGAGUGUCUAGAAAAAGCAAGGACUUCUCAAAUUUGAGCUUCAUAUUAAAAACUACAAGAACAGCUACUCUAACUUGGGGGUCUUGAUUUGCAUCAGGCUGCUGCUCACACGGGCAACUCUGUUCUUGUGCUCAGGAAAUGGUAAGAGGAAUUAAUCUAGUCACGAGGGCUGACAAUUCUUCAUUUCAAUGUUGAGAGUUUUAAGCUAAACUCAAGAAAUACCUGACUAAGCGGGAUUCUUAUUGGUAUUAAAAGUAAUGGAGGAAAAAUGCUCAGCACCACAGGCUCACAAUAGCUGGUGUCAGCAGCACCCACACUUGCGAUGGUUGUUGAUGUGGUACCUACUCACUGACAAUGGCAUUUGAGAGCAGAAGGGAGGACCAGAAACACCCUCUCCCACCCCCACUGCCAGCGGGGUCCCCCAGAAUCUACCAGCUCCUUCUCAGCCUCACCCAAGAUGGCCUUCCUCAGCAGCACCAGCAUUGCAUUAGAGCCUGGGGCUGGAACUCUAACACUUCCGGGCUCUAGGCUCCCUGGACCUUGGCUGGUGGGCCCCUGAGUGGGCUUCAGUCCUUCAAUGCAAGCUUCUGAGUUCCAAAUGAAUUGCUUUUUGACAUGCCCCCCCCCCCUCCAGGCCUAGCUCUCGGGCCUCCCUGGCCCUCUCGGUGCAGAGCAAAGCUUGAACAUCACUGAGCUCUGAUGAACCACCCUUGUCAAUGUCUGUGUUGUGCAGCUCUGUUUCCGCAGUUUCCUUUCCCUCCCUCUCCCCCUCCAGGUGCACAUCCUGGGAGAAGUCUCCAGCUGACUUCCAGGCAAACCAAGCACUCCUGCCUUUUGGGCCCACCGAGUCCUGCACAUCCUCUAGUAUUAAGUGGCUGUGUGGCUCUCUGUUGUCUUUCUCCGUGUCCCACUCAUCCAUGAGGUCUGAGAAGCCCAGAGAGACAGCAUCUCACCGAUUCCUGGGUCCUAGCCCUUUGCACAACACUGAGCCACAGACAGGGCUCAGCAAAUGCUGUGAAGAAAGUGACGAAUGUUCUGGCUGAGGCCAGCUUCUGAGGCUAAAUAAGAGGCCCUGGACCCCUUCCUCGCCCUCUGGGUAGAACUUCCCCUGCUCUCCCCCCACCUCCUGCUCCUUGGUCCAGGUCCCCGGCAUUCCCCACUGAAGACCUCUCAGCAGAUUGUAGCUCUCUCUUAUUAGGAGUUAAAAAAAAAAAAGUACAUGCCAUCUCUAAUGCUGAUGACUCGGACCCUCCAGGGACAACCUAUGCGAGGUUUACAGUGAUAGGGAGCACGCGAGGACAUUUCUAAUUAAAUUCUUUAGUGCUUCCACUUGACCUCAUUUCAACUGUGCCAUAAAUCUUGGGGGAAAAAAACCCUCAAAUCCAAAAUUUUAAAUAAUGCUUAUGAGUUGGUUUAGAACAGGGACUCUCCUUAUUAACCCAAUAGUCGAACAUCCUUUGAUUGCCAGGGUAUGUCUUAGACAGGGUCAGUGAAAGGCCACUGACCAUUUCAAUUAAAAUGUUUUCAAGGCUUUCUAAAUAAUAAACGGAACUUGCCUAUAAUUACAGAUGAAAUAAUAAUUAAAAACACCCCUCAUAAUCCUGCGUGUGAUGUUAAGGCUCGCUGUUGGUGUCCAUGUACCAAGACAAAUACCUCCUUGAGACCAGGGACCGAGGAAACAAUUAAAGUAUAAAUCCCAGGCACCCAUUAACACCCGGCUCUAUUAGCUGACUUUGUCUUCGGUCACAUUAAAGCCCUGUGGAGUUUGCUGGUGGCUUGGGCAGGAACGGUUUGGGUCCUACUUAAAUGGAAAUGUAAUUCUGCGUAGUAAAUCUCGGCUGUAAUUGGCUAAUAAGCACACACUUUGGCAGAUCACCGCUGGGGACGGUGGCUUGGGGCCUUUCCUCUCCUCUUCUUCACUUCCCCUUCUAGUAUAGCAGGCUUCUCUCCCUCGGCUCCUGAGACCUAGAAACUCCACGUAGUUUAGCUCCCACUCAGAGACCCCUCGGGGGGAAGGACGUGGGUCUUCUCAAACUGUUGGAUGGAUCAAGAGUCUCAGCCCCAGCACCUCUGGCAUCCGGGCUGCAUAACUCCUCGCCGCAGGGGGCUGUCCCGCUUGUAGCAGGUGCUGAACUUCACCCUUGACCUCUACCUACCGGUUGCCAGUAGCAACACCCCAUCCUGUUGGGACAACUUGAGAAAGCCUCCAGAGGUUGCCAGAUGUCUCCUGGAGGGGAGAUUGACCCCAGUUAAGAGCCACGGGUCUACCCAGGUGCACCCACUGGCGUAAUGUCCCAUCAUGGUGAGCGGUGACCAUGCAGUCACUCUUUUUAGACGCAGGCCCAUUCCUCCUGAAGUGCUUCUCUGCUGACGUGGUUUGCGGGGCCUUUGGACCUUUAGGAUUUUGCUUCCACUCCUUUCCCACUCUGGUUGUGUGUGUGUGUGGUCCUGGGAUUUUCAGCUUUGACCACGGUCAUCACCACAGGAUCUCGAACUGACCCCUUUGGAAGCUCUUCCUUUUUGGAAUCACCUGAAUGGGAGAUCUACCGAGCUCCACCCUUGUCCCUGGUCCCCUUGGACAAAGCCCAGCAUCCCCACAACCAUAAAGGAAGACAGUUUGGGAAGUAUACCAGCUUCUCCCAGAGUCCAAGCUCUCUCUGGUUGGAAGAGAGGAAAGCUUUAUGCUCUUCCUAGGCUCUUGGAAAGAGGCACUUGCUGUUCUUCUAAGUUUCCUUUGUGUCUCACAGAACCAGGCACCAUAGUUCCCCUGCCUUUUGGUUGAUUGGAGUAGCCCGGGCAGGGUAUUGGUCUCCAGCUAUUUGGCCCACAUGUCAGGGGCCUGCAGUCUCCAGGGAGGUAGAAGGCAGGAGGAGUCUCCAGACAUAGGAACCGUGAUGCCAGCUUAAAAUACAGGAUGCUCCAUUUAAUUUGAAUCUCAGACAAGAACAAUUUUUUAGUGAAAAUAUAUCUUCAACAAUAUAGGAUACAUACUUAUAGAAAAAAAAAACAGUUGUUUAUUUGAAAUUUGAAUUUAACUGGACGCCCCCUCUUUUUAUUUGCUGUAUCUGGCCACCUAGGCAGGCAGGAUGUUGGACCUGAACUUGACCCACUCCACUCCAUUCCUCCCCCUGCUCCCCCAGGCCACCAGGGGAAGUAGGGCUUAAAGGUAACCCAGUGCAGACACAGCUUCAAACUGUCACACCCUGUGGCCCUGACCCUGCCGGCCCCAACCUGAGAGAUCUGAACACUGGUCUAGACCUGGCUUCUCACAGACACUCCCUUGGUCACAACCCUGUUGUGGUUUGCCACUCUGGCCAAGGGUGCACCCACAUCUGUGGUCCCACUGAAAAGUGAAAAGUUCAGCCGGGCUCACUGGGCUUGUGGCUCCUGAUUCUGUAACUGCCAGAUUCUUCCUCUGUUGCUUCCCAAAUUCUUCCAAGAUGGAUUUUUUUUUUUUUUUUUUUUUUUGCCUGGAGAACUAGAGCUCCUAUUUCCAUGUAAGAGGUGAGAGAUGUCUGGUCACUCUCUGUGUCUCUAACCAUCCUGGUUUUCUCAGGACUGAGGGAUUUCCUGGGAUAUGGGAUGGUCCAUGGUAAAACUGGUGACAUCCCAGGCAAACGGGGACGGAUUUGGUUACCCUACUGUAGAGGUUGUCCGGGGAGUUCUCUCAGGGGUGGUUUGUAGGGAACAAACAUCCAGAAUUUUAAAAUCUGUCAAUAAGUGACAGGGUGCUAUAAGACAAGACUCGAGUCCCCUUUGCUGGAUUUGCUUCAGUCUGCCAGGGUGUUUUGUUUUGGGUACAUCUGAGUAUUUCAAUAUGCUCUUCAGUUUGCUGUUAAUUAGAGGGGUAAAAAAAGGAGAAGAAAACCAACGAAUGUGUUGUUUUAGGUGGAUUUUAGUGGGUAUCUUGGAACAUCAGUUGUGCCAUUGACACGUGGAAAAACAUUCAGUGGUGUGUGGAAUUGAGCCUAAAAAUUCUAUAUCUGAACUUUACCUAAGAAAAAACACCCAUGAGUGCAGGUUCAUCCAUCAGUUCAUUCACUUAUCCAUCCACCCCUUCAUCCGUCCCUCUGUCCAUCCAUCCAUCCACCCAUCUAUUCAUCUACCUGCACAUCUUUUUAGUAACUUUCCAUCCACCUUCCAAUGAUUUUGAUGGCUACCUCUGUACCAGGCGCUGUUUGGGGCUCUGAGGUCAAUCCUGUUCUAAGGGAACUUACGUUUUGUGGACAGGAGAAACAGCAAAACAAAGCAAAGCAAAAAUCAAUUGAUGAAUAAGAAAUCCUCAGCCAGUAAUAAGUGCUAUGGAGAAAAUAAAUAACGGCACUUUGCCCAUGUGAUGGGCUUUGGGGGAAAGGGAGCUGCCUCAGAGCAGGUGGUCAGGGAAGGCCCGAGGUUUCAGAAGAAGAAAAGCCAAGUCCCAGGGAGCCAGGAGGAGGGAUGCGCCUGGCUUGGUUCAAGAUUCAGAAAGUGGGUCAGAAGAAUAGUUUAGGAAGGAAUCAGCAUCUAGAAAUUGUUGGCAUAUCGACGGGGAAAGGCAGUGACCUGGGCUCUGGGUCUUUGUAUCCUAGGAGCCAACCCCAUGUCCCCAGAGAAGCCAGGCCCAGCUUCUCUGUGCACCAUGCUUCUCCCUCUGGCUGGCCGGGUUGCCUCUAGUCUGAUUCAGUAAUGGAGCCCUCUUUGCUGAGCUCUGUGAAAUCAGACACUUGGCGAACUGGCAUCCGGGAGGAGGGAAGAGGGGUUUUGUCCUGACAAUCCAAAACGCUCUGCAAAUGCUCCCCAGGCCCCUCUUCCCACUGGAAGUGAUGGGCAGCCAUUCGCAGGCUGCUUAGCACCCCAACCCACUGACAACCAGCCCUCAUUAGCUGCUGCUGGAACAAAGGAUCUUCCUGCAAGCCUUUUGUUGGUGGGGGAAAAAAAAUAGAAGAAAAACAAAUUCCUGUACAUGCCUAAACUAACUCCCAUUUAUGUUUGCACCAAAAAUGUGUAAUUAAAAAAAAAAUGGAAGAUGGGAGACACUGUUAUAACACACCCACACCAAACAUUUAUUUGCUAAAACAAGUAAAUGUGAAACACAGCAGCUGCCUGUAAUAGUCUGGAAUGAGCUAAAACUUUUUUGUUUUGUUUCCUUCUCAUUUCAGUUAGGGACAUCUUUUCCCAAUAGUUCUUACUUUACCCACCCAGUUUUGGACAGAUUUUUACUAAUAUCAGUGUCUCCUGAUGCUUAGCAAUUUUUAAAAAUCUGUCCUUAAUAAACCUCCAAGAAUCUUUUUUACUCCCCCUCUGCAUCUAGAUUAAUUUUGUUAUUGAUUCAUUUUAUUUGGAUCACGACAUCAAUAUAGCCCAGAUGCACUGGGAUCACUUUUAUAAAACGUUAACUACUUAUAUUUCAGACACACGGCAUCCAUAUAAAGGGUUAAGUGCAUCGCUGAGAAGUAUAUAUGACACUACCUGAUCAUAAAUAUGGCUUUUUGGAAUUGAAAGCAAUUUUUUUUUUCUUCCUGGCGUCUCACUAAUAUGAUACUGUGUCUGAAAUAAUAACUCUCUUUCCGACAGCACAAGUUCUCCCACCCCUUUUAGCUUCUAAUUUCUUACACGAUUCCCCUGGUUUUACAAGUAUUUUUAAUAGAGUGAUGUUCCAGAUUCUUCUACACAGUCAAAUCCUUUCAUAAUCAGAGACUUGUUUUUCCAUAGGAAUUUAAUUCCCUUUGCGGACUUGCAGCCCGGGCUGGGCUGAUCUGGUUUACAUUCUCUGACAUGUUUCCCCUCCCCCGAAGAUUAACGGAACUAUCACUUGGCGCCUUCUCAAUCCUUUUCAUCUCGUUUUCACUUAAAAAAAAAAUAUAUAUAUAUAUAUAUAUAUAAUAUUUAUUCUGAUUUCUGAUUUUAUUCCGUCGGGUGUCUUGCCCGCUGUUUUCUGAAGACAGGGAUUGGAGCUCUGGGGACAGGGAUGGAUCUGCCCAGCCUCUCUCAGCUUGGCUGAAACUAACUCAAGGAGUCUGAGACUUUAAAAACAGCACCACCGCCCGCUGAGCUGAAGGGCUCCCUUGAGAGGAAUCACUCCCGUCAAUAGAACUGUGUCUAAAAAAACCAGUCACAUCACUGGGCCAUCAUUGGGUACAUAACGCACUGAGUUUGGUAAGAAAAUGUGAAGAACAUAUAUAUUUACUCUAUCUCCGACGCUUUUGACUCCUUUCUAUUUUCUUCUUUUUUUGACUUCUUUUUAAUUGGUGCAUCAUGGUUAUACAUAAAAGUGGAAUCCAUUGCAAUGCCUUCCUGCUUGUACCUGACGUCAUUCGCUCCAUUCCAUUUUGCUAUCUUCUCCUUCCCCACCCCUCCUCCCUUCCCUGGAGCCCCUUCCUCUAUUCUGCGGCUCUUCCUCUUUAACUCCUUUCUUUAGAUGACCCACUCUCGUUGCUGAGGACUCAGGUUAGAAACCUCCUCUUUGGAGUUUCUGUCCUUAUUAUCUAAAAUUGGUCUCCCUAUGACUCUAUUUUUUCUCUUCUUUCUCCUUCCCUCCUUUCCCGGUUCCUUUUCUUCCUUUCUCCAUCAUAGGAUUUACUUGCAGUUGCUCUAGGUGUUUGUUUGGUCUGUGUUUGACACGGUUCAAUUUUCUGCCUGUCCAUAACCUAAUGGCUUCAAUGCUCCCUGCACCUAGUCCAGUACCUGACACAAAGCAGGUGUUUAAUGGGAAUGUGAUUUUUUUUUAAUACAUGUCUCAGAGCAAUGAUUUUUUUUUUCCUUCAAUUCUCUGGCCUGGCUUUCCACAUGAACUGCAUUAGCCAGUUAUCAGCACCCUCCCAUCCUCUGCUUUCAGUUUACAAUAUAUUAUCAUUGCUAUGUGGCUAUAUUUUAAAAGAUACUGUUCUUUCUUCUCUGGCCAGAUGUGUCCACAAGUCCUCGUUCCCUUGGGAAGUACUCCCCUGAUCCCAGGCUCCUUGGUGUUCAUCCUCUCAUGUUCUGAUUCUGGUGUUUGACGUUUGGAGCUGUUAUCCUUGCAAAGGAGGCAUCCAAAGGAAAACGGGGGCUUCUGAUCCAACUGCCCACUGUGAUGGCCACACCUGCAUCUUUCAGGUGAUCUGAAAAGGAAAGCUCAGCUGUCUCCAGAGCCCUGAGAAGCCUCGGAACGUCAUCUCACCUCUUCGACACUUGCCAGGAUGAGGAAAUGAGAAUAAAACCACGGUUCCUCUUGCUCUGACCUUGAGCUACAAUUUACAUGAUGUCCGAGGUGCACUUCCCCAGGUGUGAAUCAGUCCUCAUUCUGGUGCCUGGGGGAGGCUGUACUUCUGAGCGGUGGCCCUACUAAAGCAUGUGAUUCGAUGAUGUUGAACACCAGGUUUGAGGUUCCUGCACAUUUCCUGUCUAUUUAUAGAGUCUGGGAUGCCAUCCAGCAAGUCUAUGGAUUGCAUCAACCAAAUAAUAAACUUGUUGGAGAAAUCCGUUCUGUGUCAAUUCCACUAACGUGGGCUUCAGCUCACCCCCGACCGCGCCCAGCUUGGCCUUACUUUACAGGGUGCUCAGCCAUCCUAAUUUGCCCAUGACCAGGGGUUUCCAGGACUUGGGACUUUGAAAGCUGAGCCUGGGACAUCCCAAGCAAACUGGAUGAUGGUUACCCUCACUCUAUUUUUCUGCAAUAAUGCUCUGGUUAUGUCAGCAUUGCCCAUCGUCGUGAUCAUUAUCAUUAUCAUCAUCAGAAC
RNAcentral lists this long non-coding RNA (16462 nucleotides) under Marmota monax (woodchuck). The record is from RNAcentral. Lineage: Eukaryota; Metazoa; Chordata; Mammalia; Rodentia; Sciuridae.